ACGGAAGGCAGCAGUGGGGAAUAUUGGGCAAUGGGCGAAAGCCUGACCCAGCAACGCCGCGUGAAGGAAGAAGGCCUUCGGGUUGUAAACUUCUUUUACCAGGGACGAAGGACGUGACGGUACCUGGAGAAAAAGCCACGGCUAACUACGUGCCAGCAGCCGCGGUAAUACGUAGGUGGCAAGCGUUGUCCGGAUUUACUGGGUGUAAAGGGCGUGUAGGCGGAACUGUAAGUCAGAUGUGAAAUCCCGGGGCUCAACCCCGGAACUGCAUUUGAAACUGCAGUCCUUGAGUAUCGGAGAGGCAAGCGGAAUUCCUAGUGUAGCGGUGAAAUGCGUAGAUAUUAGGAGGAACACCAGUGGCGAAGGCGGCUUGCUGGGCCGUCACUGACGCUGAGGUGCGAAAGCGUGGGGAGCGAACAGGAUUAGAUACCCUGGUA
RNAcentral lists this ribosomal RNA (437 nucleotides) under uncultured Oscillospiraceae bacterium. Its description in RNAcentral is "bacterial SSU rRNA". It matches the Rfam family "Bacterial small subunit ribosomal RNA", at positions 341 to 792 of the family's 1533-position model. The record is from RNAcentral. Lineage: Bacteria; Bacillati; Bacillota; Clostridia; Eubacteriales; Oscillospiraceae.